Long non-coding RNA from Neomonachus schauinslandi (Hawaiian monk seal), 319 nucleotides. RefSeq lists it as uncharacterized. The transcript is spliced from 3 exons. NCBI's taxonomy places the organism in Eukaryota, Metazoa, Chordata, Mammalia, Carnivora, Phocidae. The record is from RefSeq and is a predicted model, not a curated record.
UUCAAGAAUGUGGGAACAAAAUGUGGCCUUAUAACACUAGGAGGUAGAACUUUAUCUGAGCACGAUAAUUCUGAUUAUGAAGAUGAAAAUAUAGUUGGACUUCUUUACAAACCACCAUUCAAAGCCAAUGACUUUUCUUGUCCUGCUUUUUCAAAACCUUCUGUCAAGUCGUUAGCAGGCCAUGGUGUUAUAAAGGAAGGAGAGGUGCAGCCGGCAACUGGAAAAAAGGACAAUGGUAUUAAUAUUACUGAAAGUGCUCCACAAGAGCAAACAGUUAAUGACCAUCUGACUUCUGCUGAUAGAGCAUACAAAAGUAAUA